Molecule: long non-coding RNA, 11421 nt
Organism: Talpa occidentalis (Iberian mole)
Lineage: Eukaryota; Metazoa; Chordata; Mammalia; Eulipotyphla; Talpidae
Exons: 3
Source: RefSeq, a predicted model, not a curated record
GGGGCCGGCCACGCGCGUGUGAACUGGGCCUGGCCACUAACCCUCGGGUCUAAUUCGCCCCCAGGACCGCGCCUGGAGGACGCGCCGGGCACCAAGCGGCCUUUCUUUCCCCGCUAAGCUAACCUUUGGUACUUGGAGAGUGGUUAUCCCUGUCCUGUUCGUUUUGCUCAUGUCGAAUCGUACAGGGUCAUCCACUUUUUCAGUAUCAAGAGCGCAGACCGUAGCGUCCAUUUCUGGGCCUCGGAUCCCGCCUCUGGCACUCCCUGACCGAGUGCGCCCGGGAUGCCUCGCGGCACCUGCCACCCUGCAUGCGGCCGAGAGGUGCGGGCCGACCAGAGACACCGGUGCAGUUCCUGGGCUGCAGCCGCCCAGGCGCCCCGAGACCCCGGGUGGGUGGGUGCGGAUGACGCUCCCUCCUGGGACGUGUGGAGCGACACGGAGAUUCGACGCUCAGCCCCCUCAGGUAUGUGAGUGGAUCUUGGCACCCAGAGCUUCACCGGUCACGAGGGGGUGACCGUGGCCCUGCCCAGGAUGCUGUGCACACACCGGUGUGCUGCCCGCAUCGGGGCGCCCCACGCCUGGCGCCAGUGGAGGAGAUGUGUGCUCUCUCUGGUCCAUGCACAGCCUGCUGCCCUUGGCCAGCCUCGUCCUGGCCACGGACCUGGAGCUGCUGGUGUUCCUGUCCGUGCUGCUGUUUCAUACUUGAGGAGAAAUUAUCCUUGGUGUGUUCGCUUUAUUUGUGAUGAAUCAUACAAGGACAAUUUCUUUUUGAGUAUCAAAUCCUGCCUCGGCGGACUUCCGGGACAGUGACCGGAGCCGUCGAGAUUCGGGUGGCAGCCCUGCCCACCUCGUGGAACGGGCACGUGCCAGCGGCUUGUGUGGGGGCACCUGUGCUCUAACCCGACUCCCUCCUGGUGGGGCCCGCUUGGCAGAGGCCCUGUGCUACGCUGGUCUGGGUGACUCGGCAUUCGAGGCUCCUCAAACCCUGCGUCUUGGACGUGAAGCCAACCUGCAGGCUGGGCCCCUGAUGCCAGUCCCUGCCCCUGCCCCCACCUGAGGAUGUGACUGACCCCCUCCCCAAGCAUGUACCUACCUCAGCGUGGAGCUGACCCGCUCACACUACUGUCUGGACCACCUGAGAACUUUCUAGAAGGAUCACCGACUUCAGAGAAGACACCAACAUGCUCCGCUGGAUGAACGAGUUCUUUGGUGCUUAAAGAAUGGCUGUCCGUAGUAUGGUCUCUCUAUUCAUGGUGAUUAAUAUCGGACAACCAUUGUUUGAGCAUCCAAAUUGGCUUCAGAAGCGUUCUUCGGCACAGUGCCACCUUCAGCAAGAGAGCAAGGGCCCGCCGCCCAGCAUGCCUUUGUGGAAGACCCAUAAUCGCUAGAUCAGUGACCCGAAUCCAGCCGCUCGCGCCUCUUCCUUGAACUAACACCAGCUUUGGGGUGGAGCUACGAGCUGGGUGUUUGGGGCUGCUUGGAAGAUGUUGAUAAUCACACCGCUGUCUUUCCUUCCCUGUGAUUCAGUCUCAGCCCCACGGGACCUGGAGACAUGCAAGUCAGGCAUUCCUCUAGGCAGCUAGCUGGGGGCCCGCUCCGGGCCCUCCCUACAUCUUUGGCAUGCACUCGAGCAUGGAAGACUUCCUGAAGGAGGUGCCAGCCUCCAGGAGCACAGCCGUCCCUGCCCGCGGCCCCGAGCAGCUGCCCGUUGAAUGUCCUGUUUGUUCUUGACGGAUGUGGUGUGGCCACCCACCUCAUUUGGACCCACUUACCUUGCACAGCACAUGCUUGAGGAGUCCGGCACCUCGGUCCCCGGCACCUCUGGGGUGUGUGAGAUAGAGACAGAAUUGUGGGCAAGAGCAGUGUUUCUCAAACUUUCGAAUGCUUCUAAGAUUUUCAUCACCUAGGGAUCUUGUUAAAAGGCAGAUUCUGAUUCAGGGAGCAAGAUUCUGCAUUUUUAGCAAGUUCCCAAGUGAUGCUAAUGCUGCUGUCGGUGGACGACGGUCGACGCGUUCAGCCUGCAGACUAAGUGCGUUCGCUGCGGCGUCUCUGCCCCACCCCCUGGGGUGUCCCGGGCUCGGCGGCACUUUGCUCUGGGGAUGGGUGUCUGUGCUGGCCCCAUGGGACAUACUGCCAUGAGGUUGCUCUUCUGUAGGGUGGCGUCAGGCCCAGAGGCCUUCUCGGACUCCAGCCCCGGUGCAGCAGGCCCCAGGGUCUGCCCCUGCAACACGAGCCACGCGCUGGGGCCAGGCCACCGCCCCAGUGGGUGACCAGGCCCUCUCCCUCUGUCACCCGCUCCCAGUCAGUGCGGGUGGAGGAGCCCUUGGGGUGGCCGUCUCAUGGUCACAACCGCGUCUCGGGCUCCAUCACGUGCCAUUUUGUCAGGGGAGGCUUUGUUAUGACGGCUUUGCACACCACCCGCUGGGUCCUGCUUGUCGCCCCCUCCGAGGACCCCAAGGGCUGGGCUGUGUCGGGAGACUUUCCAGUGUGGUUCUGACCUUGGGGUUUGGACUUGGUGUCUGGGCCUCCUCGUGUGACAGUUGACGGCGCCCCUGCUUCCUUCACAGGAUGCGAGUGCCCAGCCCUGACUGACCCUUGGGAUCUGGCACAUCCUCAGGAGGAACUUCCAGAGCGGCCAGGCCCAGUGCGGGAGGCCCGUUAGCCUCUUCCUGAGAAUCAAACUCUGCACAGAGCUGUGCCCUGCGUGUCGGUGUGACCGGGGCCGUCCUGGGGUGCUGCCUGAGAGGGAGCCGGCACUGGGAAGAGCCAGGGGGGCCUCGGAGUUUUCCCAGUGAAAUUAAUGUUUUCACAUUUUGUACCCACUCACCCGCCUCCCCUCAGUGCCACUCACUUCGGAGUGGGUGUGGGAUGCGGGUCAGCUCCAGAGGUGGGCCUGUGUACGUGUCCCUCAGGGUGUCCAGGGAGGCCUGGCCAGGAGCCUGCCCGGGCUGGGCUCUCCCCCACUGAACUCUGCCCCCAGACCUUGGCGGGCAGCCCCUGGAGGCAUCGGGCACUUGGGAGAGGUUCCUGCCUCCCUGACGAUCCCUCUGGGGGUCUGUUUCGAGUCCCGUCCCACCUGGGAUGAGGCCCCUCCCCAGGCAUGUAAGUACGUGGCCCCGGCUUCUGUCCCCACAUUGACCCCGUCCCCUCACUGCAGGGGCACGUACAUGAGGUGGCCCUCCAAGCCGGGUGUCCCAUCCGCUGCCUGUCCUGGGGAGACGGGUCUGGCGCCUUUCCUCCGCCUCUCCUGAUGGGGACCCCAGCCCUCAUCUCUGCUCUCAGCGCUGCCUGGGGGCUCAGGCUGGGACUGGAACACUGGCUCAGGCCCCUCCACCCCAUUCUUGAAACCUGACCUGAGGUUCGCUGAGCGGCCUGUGGGGCCCUUUUGGGUGGACUCUUGCUGGGGCCGCCAGCGUCCCUGCGACAUCCGCGGUGCCUGUGUGGGGCUCACUUUACUGAUGGCUGAUUCCUGGCCGCUAACCCCAGACUUCUCUCCACCCUCAGGAUGCCUCCCGGAAAGGACAAGAGCGCUGGAGAAGGUGCCGGUGUCCUUGAAAAUGGCGACAGAUGUGGCGCACGGACCUCAUUCUGGCCCCAGAGCAUGGUGAGGGCCCCUUCGGGGAGGGGAGCAUGCCAGCCCCACAUCAAGUCGGGGUGGGGGAGGCAUGUGAGUGCUGAUGGGUCCCUGGCCCAGAGGCCCUCAGAGCAUGACCAGUGAAGAGGCCUCUUCUGCUGCCAGGCCUCCAGUGCCGGCUGUACCCCCUCCCAAGAACAGCUCGGUCCAGGGAUGCUGUGUGGAUGCGACUGCCUUGGUCUUCAUCUCUCAGCUCAGAGGUCCCGGGAAGACCAGGACACCUCUCUUCCUGAGAGGCUGUCGCUGUCGGUGCCAGUGCAGGGGUAGGCAAGGCUAAUCCUUGACCCUCACAUCCUGCUGCCAGCAGGAGGCAGACCUGAGCAGGUACCACCCAGGGCGGGUCACCCCGCAGUGCCUUUUUGGAGAUCACUCCACUUGGGGUCAGUUGUCACAGAGCCCGGGCCCCAACAGGGUGAAGCCAUGUGGUCCCCACACAGCAGCAUUGAGGCCUUGGCUGCAUGGCCUCGGGACCUGUUUGGUGCUGGGUGAUGCUGGGGCUGGCCGCGUGUGGCCAGUCACCUCUCAGCUGGUUCUCCAGGACAAAGCCCACCUGGACGUGUGCCCCGAGGACUCUGACGGGGAGCAGAACUGUCCUUGCUGGGCACCAGUGGUCCAUCAGAGGACGCAUCAUGACCCUUGCCCGCUGACCCUUGGUGCCUGCUGACCCAGUUCUUCUCAGGACAGACUCAGGGAGGGGCAUGUGCCCCUCAGCCCUGCUGGUGCCUGACCCGGAUGAGCCCCCCUCGUCAGGUGUCUGGCUUGGGUCUCUUUGUUCUGAGCCACUGGUGCUGAUUUUGCGAGGAGCUUCCUGGGAAGAGCUGGGGGCCCCUCCCCAAUGGGGAGGAGAGCUUGGGUUUACAGUAGGCAAUGCCCACUGUCCUCCUAACCCCUGCCCUGCUUCAUCUUUAGGGGCCAGCUGGAAGCGAGGCCGCGGGGAGACGCCUCGUGGGCGCCAGCCUUCGGUACUUGAGGAGUGGUUAUCCCUGCUGUGUUCGCUGUGUUUAUGACGAAUCAUACAGGGACAUCCAGUUUUUCAGUAUCAAAUACUGCUCUGGAGGGCUUCCCGGACAGUGCCCUGGGAGGAGGUCCUGGCUCAGCACCGCCCCCUCGGGUAUGUACACACGUCCCAGGCCACCCCUCCCCUCCGUGUCGCUGGCUACGCCCAGGACAGGGUCUGCUCUGUGCAGAGGUGCUCCCAGGGGGCCUGAGCUUCUGGAAGGGGUGUUGGUAUCUGCACAGAUGAUGACCAGUGAGAGCCCCACCCACCCCACCUGCUGCAGGUGAACCACUCCUUCCUUAUGGACACCCUGGCGAUCAUACCAGCGUGAGGGGGAGGUGGUGAAGGGUCUGAUUCCCAGCUGGACAGCCUCAUGGUGUCUGCGCUUGGGCAGUUUCUUUUCCAGGGUCAGGCCUUUCCUGGGAGGGCUUCCUGGAAGCAAUGCCCACCUCGCGGGUGACGUGGCUUGGCUCCUCCUGGUGAACCUGUGUCUGCAGUGAAUCGGAAUGGAGCACGGUCCCGCUGGCCACGGUCGUCUGGGAGGAGGUCUGGUGAGUGACAUCUGUGGCAUCCUUACUGGAAUCGCUUCCUGGGUGGUUCAUCAGGAUGGCGUGGGUGGUGGAGCAGAGGAGGGGACAGAGUGGGGCUCCCAGGAGGCAGAGUUUGGUGGACCUUCCAUAGACGCUCCCAGGGUGCCUCAGGGACAAGGAGCGCUCUGGGGUGGCCGUGGGGCUCUCCCCAGAACUCCUUCAGUUCGGUGGCUCCCAUAAGCUGUGAAGGAGGUUGGCUACGGAACCUGGGACCUGUGCAAGCUCACGGAGUGAAGCACGAGGAGCGGCCACUGCCUCGCUGCCUGCAGGACGCGGGAGCCCCACUGGAGCUCCAGAGGGGGACUGAGCCAGCACCACUCCCAGGGAGGUGAGUGGGUGGCCCCCAAAGUCCAGUGUGUUCUCCAAACACGUGUCAGCCGUCUCACUAACGCGGUGUCCAAUCUGCCCACAGGACGGUGGUUGGAGGCCACGCCUGGAGAAGUGGAAGGGGCCCCUGUCUGUCUUGUCUCUGCCUUUCUGUGGUACUUGAAGAGAAGUUGUUCGUGGUGGAUUCGCUUUACUUAUGACGAAUCAUUCAUGGACAACGCUUUUUUCAGUACCAAAAGCUGCCUCUGAGGACUUCCUGGACACAGUGGCGACCUUGUGGAUGACGUCUCAGCGCUGUUGGCCUCGUGGAGGAGACAGGAAGGGCUGGUCGGCCAGGGACACCGUGUUGACCUAGCUGUAAGUCAUUUGACCCCUAGCCUGGACAGUCCACCUUCCCCUGGGCCCUGCCCCCUGGGGGGUGGCUGUGGUUCUGUCACCAGUAUCACCCCACAAGAUACUCAAGGGGGGGCUCCCUGGGCCCACAAACAACUUCUGGAAGAGACGCUGGUGUCCCCACUGUCCAGGGUGUGUGACUGGUUGACCAGGGCCACUUAGUCACGCACCCUCAGAACCCACCUCACCCACCCAGGAAGACAUCAAGGAGGUUCUGCCAACUCUGGGUGAGCAGCAGCAGACUUCUCGUGGCUACUGCAUGGGGGACCUGGACAACCUUUAUCAGGGAAGUGUGUUUUCUUGAAAUGUGGUGCUCCCCCCCACCCUGGGUUGCUCCUUCCUCCCUAUCACUUUGAAAUAUCGCUCCUGGGACCUGACAUGGCCUUCUGGGGUGGAACCAGAAGGAGCCUAGCUCUCCCAGGGCAUGUGAUUGUUUACAUUUGUUGGGGUCACUUGGUUCUCUGACCCCCAGCAUCCUGUCUCUCCACAGAAGGACCCUACUUUGGAAGCGGCCCUGGUUCUCUGCCCAGCUGCUCCUCACAGCAGCUGAGAGGCUACCAGGAAUGGCGUCCCCUUUAGGCCAGGAAGACGAGCUGCAUCCCUGUCACCCCAUGCUUAGGGUAAGUGCGUCUCGGGUGAGCAUGCGGUCACUAUGGGAGUAUGUCACUCGGCCCACUACCCAACUUUAUCCCACCCAUUUCUUCCAGGGCUCCGGCAAGGAGCUGCCGCCUUUGCAGGGGAGGCAUGGACUUCCUGCCAGAGUUCGCUAUGGUGCUUGAAGAGAGGCUGGCCGUGAUGAAUUCGAUUCAUCAAAGCGAGUCAUACACGGCUCUCCUCUCUUUUAGUGUCAAAUUCUGCCUCGGAAGGUUUCCUGGGCCCAGACUCUUUCCGAGGUAGGUGCCCGGAUGGCUGAGCCCACAGCAAGCGCUUUCUCGAAGAAGCAUGUCACUGGCCACUAACCCCAGCUUCCACGCUGAGCCUGAGUCCACUUUCUGGGCCACUGGCGACGAGGACAAGCCGGAGAGGCUGUGAGAUGCUCUGUCUUUAAAGCCAUCAACACUGAAAUGCAUCCUCGGAGGUCAGCUCGAAACAUCUUUGAUCAGCCAGCUGCUGGAGUCAGGGAGAACAGGAGGCAGGGGGCAGACCCCGUGGCCCCCGGCUCACUAACCCGCAGCAGCCCCACCCAUCCAGGAUCCUCUUGGUGACUGCUGUGGUUCGUCUGUUCUUGUACAUGGGUGUUUCCCGAGCUCUGUGCUUCACUAACAGCGAGAACCUCGCGGCUGAUUUCUUUGCAUUACUGUCGCCUGCAUGGACAGCCUAGCACAGGAGAUGGCAUCCCUGUGCUCACAAAUCUGGGUUGGUGAACCAGGGGACAGCAGGGAGCAUGGACUUGACUUGGACACUGAGCCAGCUGGCCCCCUUCUCCUCAGUGACCCAUCCACCCUCAGAGGCCACCCCCAAGCUGCCCAGACUUCGCAACCGUGUGGAUGUGGGGAAGCCGAGAGCAGUGCCACCUCGCGGUACUUGGAGGGAGGUUGUCCGUGGUGAGUUCGCAUUCUUUAAUGAUGCCCAAUACACGGUCGAUCUCUUUUCGGUAUCACAUCUCGUCAGGCAUCUUCUUGGAGCUGAUGCUGUUUUGGCGGGAACCCACACUCUAGCUGGUUCCGGGCCCACGUACACCAAUGUGUGGUUGGUCCUUAAAUUGAAAGACAGGUGCCCAGUGCCCAUAGCCUUAUGCAGCCUGUUUGUGACAGACAUUGACAAUGAUCUGGAUUCAAGACCCCAAAUGACUAGGGAAAAGGGGGUGCUACGAAGCUCUUGCUGUUUUGUUUUGUAAAAAAGAACAUAGCUUUUCCCUUCCUCUCUCCAUUUUAAAUUGUAGAGGGAGGGAUUCUUAGGCUUGUCGGCCAGGUCAGGCAAGAGGAUCAGCACUCUUCUGGGCUAGGUGAAUGGGGGCUCACCCAAUCUGUUGAUGGGGAAGCCACACCCCUCACUGAGUGUGAGCCAGGUGGCAGUUCUUUUUCAGUUUCUUGCUGGUAGAAAAGUACCCAAAAAAUAACCAUGAAGGGCUUUAGAAAUUUCAAACUCCUGUCUGAUCAUCCAUGUAAAGAGAAGGUAAAUAGACAAAGAGAAUGUAUUUUGUAAAUAAUGAGAUCACAGUGUACCUAAUCUUUUUAUUAACAAUCUGUUAUUUAAUAUUCUAGCAUUUAUUGUUAAAUACUAUUAUUAUUCAUUGAAAAUAUUCUACAAAUAUGGGAUCAAGCUGCAUCUAAUCUUUUUUAAAAAUGUUGACUAUAAUUUUGAGCUUACCUAAAGAAGAUUGGAAGCAUUGUAAAUGCUUCUUGCUCUACCAGGAGAGAGUAACUUCUAAAAGAGCCCUAUAAAAUUAAGAAAACCACUAAAUAGUUGGAAUCUUUAUGUUUUUUUAAUUGUUCCCAUUUCAAAUCUAAUUCUGAAAUACAAAGAAAAUCAACACCCUUACACUUCAUCCCACCACCUACAUUUAUGUCUAGGUAACAUAAAAUCAUAAAUAUUUGCAUUUUGUUCUAAAAAUCACAAAUCUUGGAGUUAUUUAAUCAUCGCCCUAUGCUUAAAUGAUUCACUUUUGACUGUGAGUUUUUUUCCCCUUAAACUCAGUCUUCUCUGUUCCUGAAUUUUAAUUUGAAUUCAUCUUUGAUGAGAUGAAUUGUAUCAUUAUUUAUUUUAAAACAGCUCACAGACUCCCCUCAGUCCUUGCACAUUGAGAACAUGUAGCUCGUGCUUUUAUACACAAGGGGCAGCUUAGCUAGGUAUAAAAGUCUCGCCCUACUUUCUCCCACUAGAGCUCUGUAGACCCUGCCGCCUCACCCUCCACCCAUGUAUUUCACUAGCUUUUUUAUGUAACUUGUGUGUAUCACUCUUACCUAGCUGGACUUUGUUACCUAAUGGGUCUUCAUAUACCUUGUGGGGAAGACUUUGGGGCACUAGAUUCUGUGAGGCCAUUCAUCUCUGGAAAUGUGUGACUGUCGCUCUUUAUUCAGCUGCCUGUUUGCUUUUGUCCAUAGUGUUUUAUUUGGCCCUAUGCUUUCUGGUUCUUUUGAAUUACUUUAUUUAGUCCCUUUAAAAAUACUUACGAUAUAAUUUUUCUAAACUUUGAGGUAUGACACCUCUUUCUUGAGUCUGUUGAUUCAUGAUAGUAUUUUUCUUCCUAGAUUUGAUAACGUUCCAUGAUGACAUAAUCAUCUAUGGGAAUGAGGUGUUUCUGUUUUGUUUUGUGACCUGUGCAAAAGAGCUGUAACAUGAGGGUUCUGCAUUUUGCUUCUGCCUGGCACCCCAAGGCUUUCGCUCUUUGGUACCAGUUUUCCUACUACUUUUCACUUAUCUGUUUCUUUAUUAUUGGCUUAAGUGUGUUGUGUGAGGGCUGGUAUAAACCCUCACUACACAGCCUUGCGAGGGUUUGGCCUUAUUCUCCCCAGAGCCCAAACAGAAGCAAACCCUGUUGUCAUUACACUGGGCCAGCGCAGAGUUUUCUAGGUCCUAUUCCACGCCACUCCCUGUGGUCACAGCUGCUGUUCUUGGUGGACAUUGUGGUCACAUGGCUCCCAGUGCUCUGGGCAGUGCACAUCCCUGGGGUUGGCAUGGAUUGUACCCAGUGCUCUGAACUAAAUUCCCUCUUCUCUGGCCUCUGAGGGCUUUUCUUUCUUCAUCCUUUACACCUCUGCAUUUCUUUGCCCAUUGGUUUUGGCUAUGGUUGCAUCUUUCCUGGUAUUCUCUAUGUUUGGAGGAGGGGUCUGCUAGCUUUUACUUGAUUCUGGCUCAGUCUCUUUCUUUAUCAGUUUCUCUGAAUCAUUAUGCCUUCUUGAUUGGUAAGGCCAGCUGUUCCUUCAUGGAUAGGGUGUUUUCUCCUAUGAUUUCCAUGUGUACUUUCCUGUUCUUUGUGCUGGUCUUUUCUGGGAUUCAAUGGCAUUUGUUGUUUAUUUCAUUAUCUCCAGAUAAUGAAGAAUGGAGAAGGAAAAAUGAGAUCUGGCCAUACACCGCCAUCAUCUUCUGGAUGUCUCUGCUGUCAUUUGCACUAUUUCCUUCUCUACUUAAAGUGAGUCCUACCCUGGUGCCCCCUCCUCAGAGUCUCCUUCUGUCUUGGCAGGCUGCCUCACCAGGUGUCAGCUCCUGGGAUGAUGUGAUGUGCGCACUUUUGGCCAGGGAGACUUCUUGGAAGUUAUAUCCGCCUUUGGUGAUGAGGCCACCUUCUGAGGUCAGUACCACCCCACAGAAUAAUAGAUUUUGACUCCCCCCCUCCCCAUCAUCUUCCUUAUCAUUGGCAUUGCAAAGUCAACAGCUUGGGAAUGUACUCCAGCUUUGCAGGGCUUCCAGGACACAAGACUGGUGAGGAAGGGAUCACAGCCAUCAGCCUUGAUGCUAAUGUGACAUGAGGAAAUACCCCACAGGGACCAGAACAGUGAACUCAUGCACUUGACCUCUCCAAGCUCAGUCCCUCCUGGGAGUCCUUCUUAGAUAACAGGACCAGUGCAGCGAAGAUGUUGACGUCUGGGCUACUUCAGGGUCUAGGGCGGGGUGGCUGAACCCAGGGCCUCUGAGUCUUCACCCCUGACCCUCUGGCAGCCAGUCUGCCAACACUCAGCAUUCUCUCAUCCUAAGGAGGACAUCCUGGAGGAGGCCAGCUUUGGAGAAGAGGCAUUGGCACCUGGUCAGUGCUAAUUUGCGGUGCUUGAAGAUAGGUUAUCCGUGUUGCCUUCGCUUUAUUUGUGACGAAUCAUACACGGUUCACCUAUUUUUCAGUGCCACAUCCCACCUGGGGGGCUUGCGGGUGGGAGCUGGGCAUCAAAGCCCUGCAGGGUAAACAGGGAGACUUCGCCACAGCUGACCGCAGAGCAUGCCCCCUCCCGAUGCUGUGUGCCCCCUCCCACCCUCUGUGUGCCACCCAUCCAUGGGAAGGUUCUGGAGAAUCUGGGGGAAGAAGUGAGGCUUUUCUUACCAGAGCCACUUGGCGGUACUUGAAGAGAGGUCUUCCAUGAUGCAUUCGCUUUGUUGUUUGACGAAUCAUACAUGGUUGACCUUUUUUUAAGUGUCAAAUUUGGCCUUAAAGCACCCAAAGGCGAUGCCAGCCUCAGGGACGGGUGGGGUGCCCACAGACCUGGCAGGCGGCCAUGUGGGCGUGAGUGUGACUUCCCAUGGAUGUGUCCUCGUGUUCACUCUCCUCCGUGGCCAGUGUGUCUGGGUCUGUGCUGAGUCGCCCGCCAUGUCCCUGUGGAGGUGGCCGCUUCAUGGUAGUACCUACCCCUGCUGCUGUCCCUGCGUGUGACGGCACCUGCUUUGCUGUGGCCCAACCCUCCCCAGUGGCUUCCUGGAAGGAGGCUCAUUUCCAGCGAGGCUGGGCAGGGUCUGCACCUGCCAGCCAGCCCGGGGCAGGACCACGGAGCGUGUGCCGUCGGCAGUGUAGCUGCAGGGGCUCACACCCCGUCCCACCCGCCCUUGGGCCCGCA